UCCGUAGGUGAACCUGCGGAGGGAUCAUUACCGAGUUAUACAACUCAUCAACCCUGUGAACAUACCUAAAACGUUGCUUCGGCGGGAACAGACGGCCCUGUAACAACGGGCCGCCCCCGCCAGAGGACCCCUAACUCUGUUUUUAUAAUGUUUUUCUGAGUAAACAAGCAAAUAAAUUAAAACUUUCAACAACGGAUCUCUUGGCUCUGGCAUCGAUGAAGAACGCAGCGAAAUGCGAUAAGUAAUGUGAAUUGCAGAAUUCAGUGAAUCAUCGAAUCUUUGAACGCACAUUGCGCCCGCCAGUAUUCUGGCGGGCAUGCCUGUUCGAGCGUCAUUACAACCCUCAGGCCCCCGGGCCUGGCGUUGGGGAUCGGCGGAAGCCCCCUGUGGGCACACGCCGUCCCUCAAAUACAGUGGCGGUCCCGCCGCAGCUUCCAUUGCGUAGUAGCUAACACCUCGCAACUGGAGAGCGGCGCGGCCAUGCCGUAAAACACCCAACUUCUGAAUGUUGACCUCGAAUCAGGUAGGAAUACCCGCUGAACUUAAGCAUAUCAAUAAGCGGAGGA
RNAcentral lists this ribosomal RNA (566 nucleotides) under Fusarium solani. RNAcentral's name for it is "eukaryotic LSU rRNA". The stretch from base 181 to 334 matches the Rfam family "5.8S ribosomal RNA". Lineage: Eukaryota; Fungi; Ascomycota; Sordariomycetes; Hypocreales; Nectriaceae. The record is from RNAcentral.